AUUGGUUUGAAAAUGUGAACAAAUAAGACAAGACCACAAUUGCCACAUAAAUUCAAAUCCCUACCUCAAACUCGGCCGAUUCAACUCUACAUUCGACUCACUCUUGAAGACCCCAUGGAUUUGGCAAUUUCUCUCAGCAUAAACUUCUUUAUCUUCCCAGUUGAAGUCUUAGGCAAUUCAUCUUUAAACACAAUAGUUUUUGGCACCAUAUAAUGCGGCAUUUUUUC
Molecule: unclassified non-coding RNA, 227 nt
Filed under: Hevea brasiliensis (rubber tree)
Lineage: Eukaryota; Viridiplantae; Streptophyta; Magnoliopsida; Malpighiales; Euphorbiaceae
Source: RNAcentral